Molecule: ribosomal RNA, 245 nt
Filed under: uncultured bacterium
Lineage: Bacteria
Description: partial small subunit ribosomal RNA
Rfam family: Bacterial small subunit ribosomal RNA
Source: RNAcentral
AGAAUCAACGCUGGCGGCGUGCCUAACACAUGCAAGUCGAACGAGAAAGUGGAGCAAUCCAUGAGUAAAGUGGCGCACGGGUGAGUAACACGUGACUAACCUACCCUUGAGUGGGGGAUAACCUAGAGAAAUCUGGGCUAAUACCGCAUAAUACCUUCGGGUCGAAGGAGCAAUUCGCUUAAGGAGGGGGUCGCGGCCGAUUAGUUAGUUGGCGGGGUAAUGGCCCACCAAGACUGUGAUCGGUA